AAGGCGGGGAUGACGUCAAGUCCUCAUGGCCUUUAUGACCAGGGCUACACACGUACUACAAUGACCGGUACAAAGGGCAGCGACACAGCGAUGUGAAGCCAAUCCCGAAAAGCCGGUCUCAGUCCGGAUUGGAGUCUGCAACUCGACUCCAUGAAGUUGGAAUCGCUAGUAAUCGCGGAUCAGCACGCCGCGGUGAAUACGUUCCCGGGCCUU
RNAcentral lists this ribosomal RNA (213 nucleotides) under uncultured Desulfocapsa sp. Its description in RNAcentral is "partial 16S ribosomal RNA". It matches the Rfam family "Bacterial small subunit ribosomal RNA", at positions 1170 to 1382 of the family's 1533-position model. The record is from RNAcentral. Lineage: Bacteria; Pseudomonadati; Thermodesulfobacteriota; Desulfobulbia; Desulfobulbales; Desulfocapsaceae.